UAUUUCAUCCUGUAAAAUCACAGUAUAUGUAUACAUUGGAUGGACGGACAAACAUAUAUAUAUAUAUAAAAUGUAUAGUUGAUGGACAUGGGAGAAGCGGUAUACACUGUAAAGUUUUUAAGAAGAAUAAAGAAGAAGAAAAAGAAACAAAAUGAAAAGAUGUUGAACUGAAUAAUUUUUCAAAAGAACUAUUUCAUUUUGGAGAGCGGCCCCUGGGUCAAGGCAAUUUCUCCUUUUCAUGUGUAGCUGUUUACUAUUUUACUCUGAUUUUAUUUCUUAAAACAAUCUUGCCUCUUCCUACACCAUCUGCAACAAUUUCUGAUUCCGAUAAACAAUAAACGGAUUUGACUAGUUUGAUUUUUUUUUUUUUUUCUAGUUCUUGAUGAUAUCUUGUUCCACAGAAAAUGGAUUUUUAGAAAUAAAAAAAAAAGUGGAAAUAAAAAAAAUUAACUAAAUUACAAAUCGUGCUCCAGCAUGACCACAGCUACCCGGCUGAAACGAAUAAAAGAAUCCACAGACACAUGUAGACCUCUUUGUUAAAACUCUACUAGAAAUUCAUCCUUUUCACAAACCAACCCUCUUUUUUUUCUUUAAAAAAAAAAAAGAUUUCCUUUUUGAAUCACCUUAGUUUCAGCAGUUCUUCACCUUUUGUUGUUCUACUCGCUUAGAGUUUGAUUAACAAAGAUUAUUUAUUGAUUUCUUUAAAUAUUUCAGACAAUACUUUUUCCUUCCUUUCAUUUUGUGUCCACCUUUUUUCCUUUUUUUAGAGAAGGUCUUACAUAGAUCAAUUGAUAAGGCUGACAUUUAAAUGAAAGGGGAGAGAGAGAGAAAACGAAGGAGGUGUAUGUGUGUGAGUAUGUGUGUGGGUAUAUAUACGAUAUAUAAAUAAAAAAUAUAUAUAUACAUAUACAUGCAAGCACACACACACGCACAUGCGUGGAUACUUGUGUGUAUGAAUGUGCGCAAGUGUGCCUGUGCAGCAUUACCAUGUCAUAUCUAUCAAUUUGUAUGGAUUUUCAGUAAAUGUAUGACCCAUUA
This is a long non-coding RNA of Octopus sinensis (East Asian common octopus), 1038 nucleotides long. RefSeq lists it as uncharacterized. The record is from RefSeq and is a predicted model, not a curated record. The transcript is spliced from 2 exons. Lineage: Eukaryota; Metazoa; Mollusca; Cephalopoda; Octopoda; Octopodidae.